GCGCCGCUAGCUCAACUGGCAGAGCAACUGACUCUUAAUCAGUAGGUUCGGGGUUCGAGUCCCUGGCGGCGCA
This 73-nucleotide transfer RNA is filed under the name bacterium. Its description in RNAcentral is "tRNA-Lys". It matches the Rfam family "tRNA". Rfam says of the family: Transfer RNA (tRNA) molecules are approximately 80 nucleotides in length. Their secondary structure includes four short double-helical elements and three loops (D, anti-codon, and T loops). Further hydrogen bonds mediate the characteristic L-shaped molecular structure. tRNAs have two regions of fundamental functional importance: the anti-codon, which is responsible for specific mRNA codon recognition, and the 3' end, to which the tRNAs corresponding amino acid is attached (by aminoacyl-tRNA synthetases). tRNAs cope with the degeneracy of the genetic code in two manners: having more than one tRNA (with a specific anti-codon) for a particular amino acid; and 'wobble' base-pairing, i.e. permitting non-standard base-pairing at the 3rd anti-codon position. The record is from RNAcentral. RNAcentral also lists the same sequence under 6 other names.